ACCUUCUCAGGAUCGCACCAGAAGAGUUCCCUUUACUCUACCAGUCUCAACUACGGGAGGGAGAGUCAAGCAGAGGCCUAUCCAUUCCAUUCCUAGCUUGGGCAGUGGCUAGUGAGUGGAAAGCAAUCUGCUACAAGU
Molecule: non-coding RNA, 138 nt
Organism: Ornithorhynchus anatinus (platypus)
Lineage: Eukaryota; Metazoa; Chordata; Mammalia; Monotremata; Ornithorhynchidae
Source: Rfam